Molecule: ribosomal RNA, 400 nt
Filed under: uncultured bacterium
Lineage: Bacteria
Description: bacterial SSU rRNA
Rfam family: Archaeal small subunit ribosomal RNA
Source: RNAcentral
GCGCGAAAACUUUACCAUGCGGGCAACCGUGAUAAGGAAACCCCGAGUGCCAGCACAGGCUGGCUGUCCGCCAGUUUAAAUAACUGGUGAAGAAAGGGCCGGGCAAGACCGGUGCCAGCCGCCGCGGUAAUACCGGCGGCUCGAGUGGUGGCCGCUAUCACUGGGCUUAAAGGGUCCGUAGCUUGAUAACUGGGUCCCUUGAGAAAUCCGCUGGCUUAACUUGCGGGCGUUCAGGGGAAACUUGUUUUCUUGGGACCGGGAGAGGUGGGGGUACUGCCGGGGUAGGAGUGAAAUCCUGUAAUCCCGGUGGGACCACCUAUGGCGAAGGCAUCUCACCAGAACGGGUCCGACAGUGAGGGACGAAAGCUGGGGGAGCAAACUGGAUUAGAAACCCCAGUAG